This 116-nucleotide transfer RNA is filed under the name Nitrososphaerota archaeon. RNAcentral's name for it is "Thaumarchaeota archaeon tRNA-Ala". The record is from RNAcentral. Lineage: Archaea; Thermoproteati; Nitrososphaerota.
GGGCCGGUCGUCUAGCCAGGCUGGAUUGAUGUUAUGUCCUCCCUAGAAACUCCCGAGCUUGGUAGGAUACCACUUUGGCAUGGUGGGGGUCCUGGGUUCAAAUCCCAGCCGGUCCA